UAGAAGCCUUUGCAGCCACGCAAGUGGUAGAUCUAGGCGACUUUAAACAAUUCUAGGAUCGCUAUGCAAGUCGGCCCACGCAUGUGGUGCCGGGCGACACUUUCGAAUUGACGGGGAUACCCUAAAGCCUGUCGCACCAACUCUGUGUGGGAAACCGCUGGAGGGCCCGUGCUAACUACACGGGGUGGUAACAGACGACACGGAUACCUCCACGCCUUUUUUGGUGUAGAUACCAUGGGCAAUCCGCAGCGAAGCCUCUAAGUCCGGCCGCCGGAUAUGAGGAACGUUCACAGACUAAGUGGAAGUGGGUGGAGCGUUCGCCGCUCUGCUUAAGAUAUAGUCGGUCCCCUUGGGAAACUAAGGGGGUGAGUACACUGCUCGAAAUUUAAACUUGAGCGCAUCUCGGAUAGCGCUCGUGUUAGAAUUUCGGGACCGUCGAUUGCCUCGCGGUUCGACGGCUCUUAAAACGUUCCGUAGGUGAACCUGCGGAAGGAUCAUUACAGAAAGUAAACGCGGAUCAAACCGCGAACUUUUAAACCUUUGACGAUUGACUCAUGUUGCCUCGGCGGGUUCUCUCGCCAGAGGAUACAUCAAAACUCCUGUUUUAACGGUGUUGUCUGAGCUACAAGCAACGAAUCAAAACUUUCAACAACGGAUCUCUUGGUUCUGGCAUCGAUGAAGAACGCAGCGAAAUGCGAUAAGUAGUGUGAAUUGCAGAAUUCAGUGAAUCAUCGAAUCUUUGAACGCACAUUGCGCCCCUUGGUAUCCCGAGGGGCAUGCCUGUUCGAGCGUCAUUUCACCACUCAAGCCUGGCUUGGUGUUGGGCGACGUCCCCUUCAGGGACGCGCCUCGAAACGCUCGGCGGCGUGGCACCGGCUUUAAGCGUAGCAGAAUCUUUCGCUUCAAAAGUUGGGGCCCCGUCUGCCGGAAGACCUACUCGCAAGGUUGACCUCGGAUCAGGCAGGGAUACCCGCUGAACUUAAGCAUAUCAAUAAGCGGAGGAAAAGAAACCAACAGGGAUUGCCUCAGUAACGGCGAGUGAAGCGGCAACAGCUCAAAUUUGAAAUCUGGCUCUUUCAGGGUCCGAGUUGUAAUUUGUAGAGGAUGCUUCGGCGUGGGCUCCGGUCUAAGUUCCUUGGAACAGGACGUCAUAGAGGGUGAGAAUCCCGUAUGUGAUCGGUUGCCCUUGCCAUGUGA
This 1197-nucleotide unclassified non-coding RNA is filed under the name Cenococcum geophilum. RNAcentral's name for it is "partial contains ITS1, 5.8S rRNA and ITS2". The stretch from base 947 to 1197 matches the Rfam family "Eukaryotic large subunit ribosomal RNA", at positions 1 to 249 of the family's 3401-position model. The record is from RNAcentral. Lineage: Eukaryota; Fungi; Ascomycota; Dothideomycetes; Gloniales; Gloniaceae.